AUCUCUGCCCCUCAGAGUCCUGGGGAGGAUGGGUGGAAGAGGAGCAGCAUCACAAGAAGGCUUCCUGUAAACUAUGGAGGGUGAGGGGACAGGGUGAGGGGGCAGGGUGAGGGGACUUUGUGAGAUGGUGCCCGUGGAAGCCAGCAGAGGGUGUAGGAUCUCCUGGAGCCAUGUGUCUGGAGUUACAAGAAGUUGUGAACCUCUCAACAUGGGUUCUGGGAAUUGAGCCUAGGUCCUCUGGAAGGACAUCAAGUGCUCUUAACCACUGAGCCAUCUCUGCAGCCCAACCCCAGCCCCUGGAGGCUGAAGCAAAGCAAGUUCAACGACUGUGCGACCUGGCUCUUGUUUGGACCUAAGGAAAAGCGACUGUAAGCAGGGAGGCAUCUCUGGCAAGAGAUGAAUAAGCACGUUUGCGGCUGUGCGCAGGGAUCACAAGGGCUCCUGCAGUGGGAAGAGCCACCACUAGGGGCGCUCCAAGUCAUGUAUUUUCUACCUGUGGCUGCCCUCCAAAUCCAACGGAGAUGAAUGGCUUUUAGUUUACCUAACUGAUUUAAUAAACUUUAAAAAUAAAUGU
RNAcentral lists this long non-coding RNA (574 nucleotides) under Mus pahari (shrew mouse). Its description in RNAcentral is "lncRNA (MGP_PahariEiJ_G0004721.1)". The record is from RNAcentral. Lineage: Eukaryota; Metazoa; Chordata; Mammalia; Rodentia; Muridae.